UGAACAUCGAAGAUACUUUCCUACUUUGUAGAAAACUACAGAACCAUCUGAGAAUGCUUGGAUGUCCCUUUUGGGAAAGUGCCCUCUGAGACCUUUCCUAAGGAUAUUUCAGGUGCAGGAUUCCUCUGGACCUGUAAGAAGCUGACGGGCAUUGUGGCCACCGUACGAUGGCGUAGGGGACCUGGCAUUUCCCAGACUCUUUCCCUUCCGACCAGCUGGAAGCUGGAGCUGGGAGCAGCAGUGACCUAGCUUCAACCAUGCAGGUGAUGACGGAGUUACAGGAAGGGAGGAGCUGUGCUCCCUGAAAGACCUGUGGAACAGCGCUGGCCCUCCUGUCUGGGAUGCUUGCACUGGGGCUAAGUGACAAAGACAUAAAGGUAGAUAUUCUUGAAAGCCCUGAAGCUUUGUGUCUCUUUCUUACAGGGCUUGGUCUUACCAUAACCAACAACAGGGGAAUAGUAAUGGCAGUUUAGGACAUUGGAUCACAUGGUGCACAAAAGAGCUUCAACAGCAUCUUUAACAUGGUUUCUUUAAAAAACGCAGAUGGGAAUAUGUCAGUUUUAAAAUGCCGUGUUGUAGAUACACUGAUAUUUGUCAUAUAAUUUUCUAUUCUUGUCUGCAGGUUUGAAGUACGUAAUAAUAAAACUGAAAGUGAUCAAGAGAAUUUGUUGGCUACAGAUAUAUUCUGACUUCAGGAUAAUUUCAGUUCCACUGUUUGGUAAUAUCACCAGGAAUUGUUUUAUCUUAGACUUUGGGCUGCCUUGCUCUCGUAUUUUGACUGCUUCUUAAAAUGCCCCUCCACGUCCCAAGAUAACUACCAGCACCUUCUGGAAUUCAUGCAGCCUCAUUCAUUAUAAACAGAAAAGACUAUCUUUGUCCCCAAGUAGGGAAAACAUUGCUUCACCAAACAUAUGUUAAGAUCUUAUUCUUUGCCAAGUACUAGUGACGCAGAAAUGAGUCAGACGUGAUUGCUUAAAUGGGAAAGCUCGGAGUCAUCAUCUGGACAUCCACAAUAUUCCUAUUUCCUUCUGCGUAAAGAUUGUUUUUAAAAAUGCUCGUAUUCUGCGAUUUAUGAAGUGUGUUGAUGAGGUAUGUUUAUGAGGUGUGUUGAGUAACUGAUGUAGAACCGGCCCCCGUCCUUCCUUACCUGGGCUCCUACGUCCACGAACAUGAGAUGUCACACUUUUCUUUAGUCAUUCUCCCUGCUUUGAAAACCCUUUCCUUCCUUCUCCACCAGGCCGAGUUUUAACGUUUCUUCAAAGCCCUCCAGGGCAUCUUUCUAGGGCGUAUCAAGAAAUGAGAUCCGCGGGCAAGUAAGUGACUGGGACGACUUCUCCCCGGCUAUGGGGUCAUUGCUUAAGAGCUAGACUUGCUGGAUGUCACCUCCACAAGUUCGUCCCCUCCUUUGUGUCCCCGUAGCACUUGGUUUACAUGGUCAGUAUGACACUCAGAUGUACAUACACGACUAACUACAACACGGUGCGGCUACUCUCCCACUUGACUUGUUUCUGAGGAUAAGGACACUCGAUUAUUCACCUUUGAGGUUCAGUCUUCUGGAUCAUACUGGACGUGUGUGGGACAGAAUGCUGACUGCAUAACCAGUGUCAAUGGCCCCUUCUUCUUAAGAACAGACCCACGUUGGGUAUGUCAUUAUGCUUAGUUUAAAAACCAUGUCUCCCAUUCUCCCUUCCACAUAAAAGUGAUGAAUGUGCAAGUGGAGGGUUUUGGACAGGACUUCCAGGACAAUUCUUUAAAAGGGGCUUACUCAACUGAGAGCCGAUCCUCCUUCUCCCAUUCCUUUGUCUUUCUGUUCAGAAUUCAAACGUGAUGGUUGACGUGCUAGCAGCCAUCUUGUGACCAUGAGUCAACCUUGAAGAUGUAAGCCCUGUGCCAAGGUUGGUGAGCAGGAACAAGAAAGUGCAGGAAGACGGGUCAGUCAUGUAGCUCCGACUGUACUGCUGGGCCAUCUACCCCUGGACAUUUUUAAUAGAAAAAGAACAAAGAGGAAGAGGAGUGGAAAGGGAAGGGAAAGACGAGGUGAAGGUGAAAAGAGAAGGAGAAAGGAGGAGGAAAGGAGGCAAUCACCGGAAGGUCAUCAGCCAGGUGGAGAGAGACGCUUAACCAGGUCCCGGAAGAGCUCCAGAGGCUCCUGUGAUGGUUCUGUCCAGGGGAGGAAAAAACACAGGGAACAUGAGCAGCCAUCCCCAAACAGGUGGAGCCCUCUGAGAUGACCAGAGGUGUUUCCACAGGUGUUUAUUGAAUGACUAAUAUGUGCCAAGCACUAACCCAGGUGGUGGAACACAUCAGUGGACCAACUUGAGCCGCUCUGUCUGUGUCUAGCUUAGGGCCCCAGGGACAGACUGACAAUAAUAUCACCAACAGGUAAAUUUGUGAUGUCCAGUGGGGUUAAACUUAUUCCCUAAGAAUCUGAGAUCAUGUCGAUGGUAACUAAACAGAAUCUAAGGAGAACGAUUCCUCAGCUGCUGCGUUUCAGUCUGAACUGCCUGAUAAUGCAGUGUAAGACUGGAGAGUCCUCUGUGCUGAAACAUGCACAUUGAGGCAAAACCAGGCGAGUUGUAGACAGAUGAAAGUGUUGGAUGCAGGGAUGGGGCCAGACAAUCUCGUCAAGCCUGCCAACCUUGAGACUCCAUCACCUCUUAUUUUCUACCUCCUCUUUUGCAAUAUCCUCUUUCUUUGCAGAACUCUCUAGAAGCAAUAAGAGUUGACUCCAUGGUGUAAGAGACUGAGUGAUAAGGAAAAGAUUUUCCACAUAGCCUUGUGAUGGAGUAACCAAAAUGACCUCUAAGGUUUGCCAGAAAAAAGCUAGACCUGCGAAGAAAGGAACGCAUUUUGGGCGGCUCCCCCGUGCUCCUCGGGGCCACAAGUACUCGAGGAAGUGACUGUUCCCUGGGUGGUGGCCAGACGCUCGGCUCCCAGGAGUCCGGCCGCCCUGAGGGCGGGGCCGGGAGGUGGAUGGACCGGAAGACCGCGCGUCUAGGGAGACUGAGUCACGUCCGGGUCAGAGCACGCGGCUUGACAGCCGGGGGAACGAAAUGCUGGUCUGGGGCGGAAUUUGAACUUUAGGUGGUUAAUUUCUACAGGCAAGAUCUCUGCUCCAUCUCGCGUCCUAAGAAAGGAGGGGUGUGUUUCUAAGCACAUACAGGCGCUCACACACUUUGCUGAUGUAUAUUCUCUACGUGCCUAAGCAUUGUAAUUUAGAUUUUGAUCUAGAAAAUUAAAAAUAAACGUCUAAGAGUUCCAUGCCAAAA
RNAcentral lists this long non-coding RNA (3269 nucleotides) under Equus caballus (horse). RNAcentral's name for it is "lncRNA (ENSECAG00000041722.2)". Lineage: Eukaryota; Metazoa; Chordata; Mammalia; Perissodactyla; Equidae. The record is from RNAcentral.